CUUUUGGAACGCAAGUUUGCGCCCGAUGCCAUUAGGUUGAGGGCACGUCUGCCUGGGUGUCACAUAUCGAAGCCUCUUGCCAAUUUUCCUUUGACUAUUGUGCAGGGUGGAUGUUGGCCUCCCGUGAGCUCUUUCGUCUCAUGGUUGGUUGAAAAUUGAGACCUUGGUAGGGUGUGCCAUGAUAGAUGGUGGUUGUGUGACCCACGAGACCAAUCAUGCGCCGCUUUAUUGAAUUUGGCCUCCUUUACCCAUAUGCGUUUCUAAACGCUCGUGUUGAGACCUCAGGUCAGGCGGGGCUACCCGCUGAAUUUAAGCAUAUCAAUAAGCGGAGGAAAAGAAACUAACAAGGAUUCCCCUAGUAACGGCGAGCGAACCGGGAUAAGCCCACCAUGAGAAUCGGUCGCCCUCGGCGUUCGAAUUGUAGUUGAAAAAAACCGUCAAAAGGG
RNAcentral lists this ribosomal RNA (446 nucleotides) under Vicia narbonensis. RNAcentral's name for it is "eukaryotic LSU rRNA". The stretch from base 277 to 446 matches the Rfam family "Eukaryotic large subunit ribosomal RNA", at positions 1 to 172 of the family's 3401-position model. The record is from RNAcentral. Lineage: Eukaryota; Viridiplantae; Streptophyta; Magnoliopsida; Fabales; Fabaceae.